RNAcentral lists this ribosomal RNA (253 nucleotides) under uncultured bacterium. RNAcentral's name for it is "partial 16S ribosomal RNA". It matches the Rfam family "Bacterial small subunit ribosomal RNA", at positions 524 to 776 of the family's 1533-position model. The record is from RNAcentral.
UACGUAGGUGGCAAGCGUUAUCCGGAUUUACUGGGUGUAAAGGGCGUGUAGGCGGGAAAGCAAGUCAGGUGUGAAAACCAUGGGCUCAACCUGUGGCCUGCAUUUGAAACUGUUUUUCUUGAGUACUGGAGAGGCAGACGGAAUUCCUAGUGUAGCGGUAAAAUGCGUAGAUAUUAGGAGGAACACCAGUGGCGAAGGCGGUCUGCUGGACAGCAACUGACGCUGAGGCGCGAAAGCGUGGGGAGCAAACAGG